RNAcentral lists this non-coding RNA (46 nucleotides) under Schistosoma curassoni. The record is from RNAcentral. Lineage: Eukaryota; Metazoa; Platyhelminthes; Trematoda; Strigeidida; Schistosomatidae.
GCACUACUGAGGAGUCCCAUACUAGGACGAGACGGCAGUCCAGUGC